GACAAGGCCUAUUCUCAUAGCACUCCCAAAAAUAUUAAACUAUCAUUCCUCCCGACAAUUUUCCCACAUUCCAUCUUGUUUAAUCAUUUCCACGUUGUAACUGUCUCUUAGUCCCUUAAGGUGUGAUCAGUUAUAAUUUCUUGGCUGUGUUUGUGUUUAUGAUGAGGGUAUCUGUGUGAUCAGCUGUUAUGACCCAGGGACUAAGUUUUGGCCGUGCCAGUCAGCCUGACCAGAUUAUCAACUCCUUCGUGGCAGUUUUGAAGAUGAAUCAGAACAGUUAUGUGUCUAUGAACCAUGUGUUUGUCCUUCCCACCUACACCGCAGUUCAGUGGGAUCAAGGCAGACUGGAUCACUGGAUGUUUCAGAAGGUAUCAACUUAAACGAAUCUCUUCUGGGAUUAUUGGUGCUUUUACCUCCACAGCGGCAAUCCUUUAUAACAUCAAGGAUAUAUUGAGGAUGUACAAAAAUAAAACUAUGUUGGUUCAAUUCUCUAUGAAAAGACAUGUACUGAUGCCCAUCUGUGUUCAUGGGAACCACUGGGUGCUGAUGGUGGUUGACAUCAGAAAGAGAACAGUGACCGUCCUGGAUUCCAUGCAUGGGCAGGUUGGUCAUCGUUUGACCAGAUUGUGGACUCAGUUCAUGGCUGACCGGGACAGAAAAACAGAAAUUUCAGAGAAAUUUGGACGGUGGAAUUCAGCUACGCCUUGCAGCAGACUGAUAGCAGUUUCUGUGGUGUGUUUGUCCUCAUGAAUGCUGAGUGUGUUGUCAAAGGUGUACCAGUGGAGGUCAUGAGGCAAGCACACUGAAGGAACUAUCGACAGGAUGUCAAGACUCGACUGCUUCUAACUGGCCAUCAAAACCAGACUCAACUAUUCAUGUUUUUCUUUAUUAAAGAUUACUACAGUAAACUCAAAUGAUAUUCCUGUAUUUCACGAUAAUUUAUUACUAUAAAAUUGAAGGAUAUACCCGUGUUUGAUUAAAGCUUAUUACUGUAAAUGUUAAGGAUUUUCUAUGUGCUUCAUGACAGUUAACUACCAUUAAAUUUAAGAUUAUUCCUGUUUUAAUGAUAGCCAAGUACUAUAAAAUUUAAGAAUAUACCUGUUUUUAAUGGUAGCUUAACACUAUCAAAUUGAUAGAUAUUCCUAUUUGUAAUGACACCUAACU
Mizuhopecten yessoensis (Yesso scallop) is the source of this 1164-nucleotide RNA transcript. It is a transcript of the gene named sentrin-specific protease 2-like, with no coding region annotated. NCBI's taxonomy places the organism in Eukaryota, Metazoa, Mollusca, Bivalvia, Pectinida, Pectinidae. The record is from RefSeq and is a predicted model, not a curated record. The transcript has 3 exons.